Molecule: ribosomal RNA, 460 nt
Filed under: uncultured bacterium
Lineage: Bacteria
Description: bacterial SSU rRNA
Rfam family: Bacterial small subunit ribosomal RNA
Source: RNAcentral
CCUACGGGGGGCAGCAGUAAGGAAUAUUGGGCAAUGGGCGGAAGCCUGACCCAGCCAUCCCGCGUGCAGGAAGAAGGCCCUAUGGGUCGUAAACUGCUUUUGUUUGAGAAGAACAGGACGCAUUUAUGCGUUUGUGACGGUAUCUUACGAAUAAGCACCGGCUAACUCCGUGCCAGCAGCCGCGGUAAUACGGAGGGUGCAAGCGUUAUCCGGAAUCACUGGGUUUAAAGGGUGCGUAGGCGGCAUGAUAAGUCAGAGGUGAAAGCUUGCAGCUCAACUGUAAAAUUGCCUUUGAUACUGUUGUGCUUGAAUGAGGGUGAGGCAGGCAGAACGUGGCAUGUAGCGGUGAAAUGCAUAGAUAUGCCACAGAAUACCGAUUGCGAAGGCAGCCUGCUGGCCCUGAAUUGACGCUGAGGCACGAAAGCGUGGGGAUCAAACAGGAUUAGAUACCCUAGUAGUC